UGCCCACGCCUAGGAAUUCCCGGAAACAGGAGGUGCCGCUGACCAGUAAGUGUGUGCCGAUAGUCUCAUUUGAUUGCUCCGUGUCUGACAGGAUUUGUCAAGCAUCCCCUGCUCUGUUUCAGGAAGCAGUCUGCUUAAUAGAUAAACAAGAACCCCCGGGUUUAACUACCAGAGCCAUACAAACCAGCGGUGGUGGUGGACUCAGCGGUGGCAGCAGGAAGACCAGAAGCUCAAGGUCAUUCUCAGUUUCAUAGCAAGUUCCAGACUGGACUACAGGAGACCCUGUCUGGAAAAGAAAAAGAAGAGAAAACAAAAGAAAAAGAACUAUUUCUUUUCUCUUUCAAAAAUGAGAUCUUUUGGACCCCCCUCCCAUAUUCCUCAGCUGAGACAUAAAUAAAAAAUAUCUCUGCUGCAGAAAAUGGAGGUCACCUGAAACCCAGGUCAUCUUCCUCCCAGUUAUAGUGUU
This is a long non-coding RNA of Myodes glareolus (Bank vole), 466 nucleotides long. RefSeq lists it as uncharacterized. NCBI's taxonomy places the organism in Eukaryota, Metazoa, Chordata, Mammalia, Rodentia, Cricetidae. The record is from RefSeq and is a predicted model, not a curated record.